UUUAUCAACAUAUUAGAAAGAUUAUUUUGAAGAAAAGAUUCUUGAAUUGGGUUUAGGAAUUUAACCC
Molecule: small nucleolar RNA, 67 nt
Organism: Brugia malayi
Lineage: Eukaryota; Metazoa; Nematoda; Chromadorea; Rhabditida; Onchocercidae
Source: RefSeq, a predicted model, not a curated record